Molecule: ribosomal RNA, 416 nt
Filed under: uncultured marine bacterium
Lineage: Bacteria
Description: bacterial SSU rRNA
Rfam family: Bacterial small subunit ribosomal RNA
Source: RNAcentral
AACGCGAAGAACCUUACCAACCCUUGACAUCCUGUGCUACUACCAGAGAUGGUACGUUCCCUUCGGGGACGCAGUGACAGGUGCUGCAUGGCUGUCGUCAGCUCGUGUCGUGAGAUGUUCGGUUAAGUCCGGCAACGAGCGCAACCCACAUCUUUAGUUGCCAUCAGGUUAUGCUGGGCACUCUAGAGAAACUGCCCGUGAUAAGCGGGAGGAAGGUGUGGAUGACGUCAAGUCCUCAUGGCCCUUACGGGUUGGGCUACACACGUGCUACAAUGGCAGUGACAAUGGGUUAAUCCCAAAAAACUGUCUCAGUUCGGAUUGGGGUCUGCAACUCGACCCCACGAAGUCGGAAUCGCUAGUAAUCGCGUAACAGCAUGACGCGGUGAAUACGUUCCCGGGUCUUGUACACACCGAAU